GGGGAAUAUUGCACAAUGGGGGAAACCCUGAUGCAGCGACGCCGCGUGGAGGAAGAAGGUCUUCGGAUUGUAAACUCCUGUUGUUGAGGAAGAUAAUGACGGUACUCAACAAGGAAGUGACGGCUAACUACGUGCCAGCAGCCGCGGUAAAACGUAGGUCACAAGCGUUGUCCGGAAUUACUGGGUGUAAAGGGAGCGCAGGCGGGAGAACAAGUUGGAAGUGAAAUCCAUGGGCUCAACCCAUGAACUGCUUUCAAAACUGUUUUUCUUGAGUAGUGCAGAGGUAGGCGGAAUUCCCGGUGUAGCGGUGGAAUGCGUAGAUAUCGGGAGGAACACCAGUGGCGAAGGCGGCCUACUGGGCACCAACUGACGCUGAGGCUCGAAAGUGUGGGUAGCAAACAGGAUUAGAUACCCUGGUAGUCCACACCGUAAACGAUGAUUACUAGGUGUUGGAGGAUUGACCCCUUCAGUGCCGCAGUUAACACAAUAAGUAAUCCACCUGGGGAGUACGACCGCAAGGUUGAAACUCAAAGGAAUUGACGGGGGCCCGCACAAGCAGUGGAGUAUGUGGUUUAAUUCGACGCAACGCGAAGAACCUUACCAAGUCUUGACAUCCCUUGACGAUGCUGGAAACAGCAUUUCUCUUCGGAGCAAGGAGACAGGUGGUGCAUGGUUGUCGUCAGCUCGUGUCGUGAGAUGUUGGGUUAAGUCCCGCAACGAGCGCAACCCUUAUGGUCAGUUACUACGCAAGAGGACUCUGGCCAGACUGCCGUUGACAAAACGGAGGAAGGUGGGGAUGACGUCAAAUCAUCAUGCCCUUUAUGACUUGGGCUACACACGUACUACAAUGGCGUUAAACAAAGAGAAGCAAGACCGCGAGGUGGAGCAAAACUCAGAAACAACGUCCCAGUUCGGACUGCAGGCUGCAACUCGCCUGCACGAAGUCGGAAUUGCUAGUAAUCGUGGAUCAGCAUGCCACGGUGAAUACGUUCCCG
Molecule: ribosomal RNA, 995 nt
Filed under: uncultured bacterium
Lineage: Bacteria
Description: bacterial SSU rRNA
Rfam family: Bacterial small subunit ribosomal RNA
Source: RNAcentral